Molecule: long non-coding RNA, 549 nt
Filed under: Helianthus annuus (common sunflower)
Lineage: Eukaryota; Viridiplantae; Streptophyta; Magnoliopsida; Asterales; Asteraceae
Description: sRNA HanXRQr2_Chr01g0011391
Source: RNAcentral
UUGCAACGGUAACCACCACCGAUCAUUUUCUUUUCUCAUCGUGGUAGUUACAAAUCUGAUCUCAGAACGCUUUCUGAUUAAUUAAACCCUCAAAAAGACAUACCGCCGUGGCCCAUUGCAACCGUCACCACCACCAAACACUUACUUCUGUAUGAACUCUCUCUUUCUGAAUCUGGGUAUAGGGAGGUACAAGGUAUCCCAAGUCCUACAAGACGCUGCGGAUGCUGGUCUUUUUGGUAUGUCGCACAAGUGCUUUUGUUGAAGGUUUCUGAAGAUAAAGCGUUACGAAUUUCACCAGGAGUAUAAGAUGAACGUGUAUUUCAGGGAUUGGAUUUUGUGGAGGCAGAAGCUAGAAAAUAUGGUCUUCCGUUGAUAUUAAGUUUUGUUAACAGUUAUAAAGACUUUGGAGGGAGAUCACAAUACAUUAAGCAGGCUAGAAGUUUGGGCGUUCUGAUUUAAUAGUGAUGAUGAUUUCUACACUAACCCUAGGAUCAAAGGGUAUUCCAGGAACCAUGUUGAGAGAGUUUAUAAAAGUAGCUAUAAAUAUAU